RNAcentral lists this ribosomal RNA (756 nucleotides) under uncultured bacterium. Its description in RNAcentral is "bacterial SSU rRNA". It matches the Rfam family "Bacterial small subunit ribosomal RNA", at positions 8 to 794 of the family's 1533-position model. The record is from RNAcentral.
AGAGUUUGAUCCUGGCUCAGGAUGAACGCUGGCGGCGUGCCUAACACAUGCAAGUCGAGCGAUUCUCUUCGGAGAAGAGCGGCGGACGGGUGAGUAACGCGUGGGUAACCUGCCCUGUACACACGGAUAACAUACCGAAAGGUAUGCUAAUACGAGAUAAUAUACUUUUAUCGCAUGGUAGAAGUAUCAAAGCUUUUGCGGUACAGGAUGGACCCGCGUCUGAUUAGCUAGUUGGUAAGGUAACGGCUUACCAAGGCGACAAUCAGUAGCCGACCUGAGAGGGUGAUCGGCCACAUUGGAACUGAGACACGGUCCAAACUCCUACGGGAGGCAGCAGUGGGGAAUAUUGCACAAUGGGCGAAAGCCUGAUGCAGCAACGCCGCGUGAGCGAUGAAGGCCUUCGGGUCGUAAAGCUCUGUCCUCAAGGAAGAUAAUGACGGUACUUGAGGAGGAAGCCCCGGCUAACUACGUGCCAGCAGCCGCGGUAAUACGUAGGGGGCUAGCGUUAUCCGGAAUUACUGGGCGUAAAGGGUGCGUAGGUGGUUUCUUAAGUCAGAGGUGAAAGGCUACGGCUCAACCGUAGUAAGCCUUUGAAACUGGGAAACUUGAGUGCAGGAGAGGAGAGUGGAAUUCCUAGUGUAGCGGUGAAAUGCGUAGAUAUUAGGAGGAACACCAGUUGCGAAGGCGGCUCUCUGGACUGUAACUGACACUGAGCACGAAAGCGUGGGAGCAAACAGGAUUAGAUACCCUGGUAGU